Molecule: long non-coding RNA, 718 nt
Organism: Peromyscus leucopus (white-footed mouse)
Lineage: Eukaryota; Metazoa; Chordata; Mammalia; Rodentia; Cricetidae
Exons: 3
Source: RefSeq, a predicted model, not a curated record
CGGUACCUUCAUGAAGGUCUCUACCGCGCCUUUGGCCGUGUCCAGGUUGACUGAAAACAGCGAGUUGACAAUUGUCAUGCCACUGGGAAUAAGCACCAUGACGGUCACCUGUUGCAGCUCGACAACUCAUUCAGAACUGCCUUCUGGAGGCAGCACUAUAAGAUGCCAUUAUAUCUAUUAAGUGUUGGGAGAAAAUGCAGAGAGCACCGUGAGCACCAAGGAUGAACAAUUAACUCUCAUAACAUGGUGGCAAAGCAGAGACCACAUGAGGCUUUGUGAAGAGGUAAGAAGAGCAGGAGAGCCAGGGCCUCCGUGUGGAAGAGUGGUGAGAACAGAAACUGGACAACUCCCUGAAAGAUUCCAUGUGCCCAGCUAAGAUAUUUUGAAUUUUGUUCUUUGAAUGAUAGGGUGAAAAAUGGUAGGGGGUCAGGGAAUGACCCAAAGAAUCAGAGUUUAACUUUAGGAAAACGUUUGCAUUGUGUGGACGUUGAUAAUGUGUAUAGAAAAUGUCCAACACAGCUUUCUUCCCUCUGAAGACGGCUCCCCUGCAGACGCUGCUCCACUGAGAUUAACUUGUGUGUCUCCUUGAUCCAGCUGUACAUCAUAAACCCCGCCCCCUUGUUUAUCUGUGUGUAAUAACCCUGACUCCAUGCUCAGCUGUAUGCAUUAAGCUUGCCUCCCUGUUUACCUCUAAAUAAUAAACAAGCUGAACUUCCAA